AAGUUAGGAAAAUAAUUGGGCCUAGGUCGAUUCCACAAGAGGAGGAUGAAGGGCUUUGGUUAUUUUGAAAACUGCCCAACUUUUAGCUAGUAAGUGGUGGAGUGCAGACUAGAAACUACUUCCUGGGAAUCCUGAGUUACCACAGUUACGACGACAGUUUGCAGCCUGGCUACAUUAUACCGGCCUAGCCCACGGGUUGGUAUCCCCUUGGACCAAAUCCUGCCACCUGCAUUCUUUUGUAAAUAAAGUUUUACUGGAACACA
Long non-coding RNA from Pan troglodytes (chimpanzee), 263 nucleotides. RefSeq lists it as uncharacterized. The transcript has 2 exons. The record is from RefSeq and is a predicted model, not a curated record. NCBI's taxonomy places the organism in Eukaryota, Metazoa, Chordata, Mammalia, Primates, Hominidae.